UACGGGGGGGGCAAGCGUUGUUCGGAUUUACUGGGCGUAAAGGGCGCGUAGGCGGCCAGCACAAGUCAGUUGUGAAAUCUCCGAGCUUAACUCGGAAAGGUCAACUGAUACUGUGCGGCUAGAGUGCGGAAGGGGCAACUGGAAUUCUUGGUGUAGCGGUGAAAUGCGUAGAUAUCAAGAGGAACACCUGCGGCGAAGGCGGGUUGCUGGGCCGACACUGACGCUGAGGCGCGAAAGCCAGGGGAGCGAACGGG
Molecule: ribosomal RNA, 254 nt
Filed under: uncultured bacterium
Lineage: Bacteria
Description: partial 16S ribosomal RNA
Rfam family: Bacterial small subunit ribosomal RNA
Source: RNAcentral